CCGAACUUGGGGUGGUGAAUGUAUUUAGGAGGAAGAGGUGGAAACUUUGGAAGUGGUGGGAGCUGUGGAAGUGGCGGACAUGGCUUCUUUGGAAUCACCACUACCGGUGGUUUGUAUACUGGUACCGGCGGAGGGCAUGGCUUCUUGGGGAUCACAACCGGUGGUUUGUAUAUUGGUACCGGCGGAGGACACGGCUUCUUCACAAUUGGUGGUAUGUAGAUUGGUGGAUGCUCUAUCUUCGGCGGCGGCUUGUAAACCGGAACUGGAGGUGGGUGCUCUAUCUUCGGCGGUGGAAUGACUAUCUUUGGCGGCGGCUUGUGGACUGGAACCGGCGGUGGAUCAACUUUCUUAGGCGGACAAGGCUUCUUCGUUGGUGGUUUGUGGACUGGCACCGGCGGUGGAUCAACUUUCUUAGGCGGACAUGGCUUCUUCGGUAGCUUGUGUACCGGAACGGGAGGUGGGUGCUCUAUCUUUGGCGGGGGCUUGUAAACCGGAACCGGAGGUGGCUUCUCUAUCUUUGGCGGUGGCUUGUAAACCGGAACCGGAGGUGGGUGCUCUAUCUUCGGCGGUUUAGGUGGACAAGGCUUCUUAGGAAUAGGCGGUGGAAGCUCCACCUUUGGUGGUGGCUUGUAAACUGGGACAGGUGGUGGAACCUCUUUCUUAGGCGGUGGAUCGUAAACCGGAACCGGCGGGGGAAUCUCUUUCUUUGGCGGCGGCUCGUAAACUGGUACCGGGGGUGGAACCUCCACAGGAGGACUGUAUUUAGGUGGACAUGGCUUCUUGAGAAACGGUGGAAGUUCCAAAGGUGGAGGUAAAGGGAAAGGAUGAUCAAAGCCCUUAAAAGGAGGCAACUUAGGCAUAGGCCAGAAGAAUUUGGAAACGCAAAUCUCCGGUGAAAAUUUCAGAUUUUGUUUGAGACCCAAAAUGUGUUUAUCCCCGGAUUUGGAUAAAAACACGAUCUUGGUGGACUCAAGGCCGUCGUGAGCCGGACAAGGUGUUCCCGCCGCGCUGUGAAGCUGAGCGUAACACUCCUCCUUUAACGCUCCGUUGUCGGAGACAAUGUCAUGAGGAAUAUUAAGACCAAACUUUCCUUUGUCGUCAAUGUUUCCCGAACCUUUUGUAACAAAAUGGCCUUUAUUCACCUUACAGUCGAUCGUCACUCGAAGUCCUAUAACAAAUAAUAUCACACAUUGAUCAAAUAUAUAUUCACAAAAAAAUAAACUAUAUAGUACAUAAGAUAUUAAUGUAAGUUAUGAGAUACCUGAAAAUGCAUGGGGGGUUUUGAUCUUGCUCUCGGCGUAACCGACAACUUCGACGACACGAGCGAGUGAGAGAGUCGCUGAUAAGAGAACCGACACAAGAAGGAGAAGACACGGAACCGAACCUCGAGGUUCGGGUAAGAUCCUCAUUGGGAUUCUCACCCUCUGAGAUUUCUGACACACUUCCCUUUCGUUUGCUGAAAAUAUAAAGAUUAUAAGAAGAACAAAAACAAACUAUAGAGUAUUAGUGGGGAAGGUGAUGAUAUGAUUAUAGUGAGACUUCUUCUCGUUUAUAUAAUGGUCUUAUCAAAGAUUUUUCUGAAGAUUGAUCGUAAUAAUUACUUCCGAAUUAAUUAACGUUUAGUUUUUUUUUUUUUUACCAACAAUAAUUGGAUUCGGCGGUUCCUAUUAUUUUGUAUUGUGUAUCAUUUAUUUAAUGUCGUCAUGGUCCAUCUUCUCGUUGUUACUUUCGUCUAUGCGGCACUUUAUGAUAUUUUUCAUGCAGGGUGGUUGAAACACAUUGACUUUUUUUUCCUUAAUACGACAACGGCAUUCAAAUUUUAUUUUUUGUUUCCCUCAUCAACGUUAUUGCACGAGACAUAUGCGUACAACUUUUGACACACGAAACUUUUGAUCCGCAAAUAUGGUUAAUUUUAUUGUUAUAGAGAUUGCAGGAUGAGCAUGCAUAUACUUUUUUUUUGUUUCACACACACGCUAUGGUUGAAAAAAGAAACUGAAUUAAUCAGUGCGUGUAUACGGCUCCACCAACCCAAAAUUGAAGCGGAUCACAUUAUGGUUAGAAGAGAAACUUAAAUGUUUUUAUGGAAAAAAUAUAGUCAGUCACACUACUUGUCGGCUUAUAUUUCUUGUCCACUCCGUAUAUAUUUAAGUAAUUAUUUUACCGGAAAUCCAUUACAAUGCUAACAAAUAUUCUUAACAUUUGCAGUUAUGCACGCCAUGAUAUCUACUGUUUUAACCGUAUAUACAUAACAAUAAAAUAAAGUAGCUAGUAGUAAUAAACUAACGAAAUUUGUCAGAGAAGAGGACUGAUAUGAUUUAUUGGCAUUUGGUUAGAUGGAGAUAGAAGUUAAUAUCUAUCAUCAAUCUACUUCGUCUCUGAAGUUAAUUGGCAAGGCCCUUCAAUAAAAGCAGCCAGCUCAAAAGCCUACUAGUAUUUGUUCCUUUUUCUUUUUUUUUUCUGGACAAGCUAAGCUAACUACUAUUUGUUCAUUUUAAUUUGAUGAAAAGUGUAUACGUAAACGUUUGAUUACUAAAUCUCGUUUUGUUCGAAAUGAAUAGAAGAGUUAAAGAACACUUAUGGAAUAUGAGAACGUAUCAACUUGAUAACAAAUAAGAACGCAUAGCACUUUUACAAAUUCAACUUUAUAUAUAGUACAAGAAUUCAGCUACAUAUGUAUCGCCGUAAUUUUCUCUGAAAACUAUUAUAUAUUGUUUUUACACAAAUGACCGAUAUCAAAUGUUGAAAUUCAAAACUUUCACCCACUCUUCAUUGCUAGUUGCUACUAAAUCCUUACACGUUCUUAUGCAAAAUUAGCAAUAUUAUCUGAUGUCGCAAAAUUGACAUGAUGCAUAUAUAUAUGGGUGCAUGCAAUGCAAUAGCUAGUCCGACUUUCGAAUCGAGAGACGACCUGAUUAGAUAUAUAAAAAGAUAAACUACAGUCCUGACUGCGUUCUAGGUGUUAGAAACUUACAACGCGAACUAGAAAUACAGAAUUGAGGAUUAUAUGUGAACGAUAUCAUAAUGUUGGUUGCCAUAUUAAAAGCUACACCUACUCAUCCACGCCCAUUAAUACGGUGGCUUUGGACAGUUGUACAAUAAGAGGUUCAAGUUUAAAGUUAUUAUUGUAUAUUCAUUUUCUGGUAUACAGAAGAAAUAUAUACUUUCAUAAUGUACACAUAAUCGCUAAUAAGGCCCAUUCUUAAAUGUACGUAAAAACAUGUAUUCAAUAGCCUAAUUGUGUAGAUGGUGAGUGUAUAUAGUCGAUCGGGGUAUAACCUAUAGCGACUAUCUAUGCUUCCUUUAUAAAAAUAAAUAUAUGAUCGCUAAUUUAAGCAAAAACAGAUGUGUCUUAUGGAAAAUUCUUUUUCCAAUAGAUAUCUAAUUAUAUAGAGCUUAACUUUUUUUUUUUAUAUUGCAUUUUGCUUUAUGUAUACUAUUAUGAUGUAUAAUAACAUAGUUAAAUAUGCUAUUUAUAAUGAAAACACAACCUUAUCGUGUGUUUUAGCAAAACAAAUCACAAAUUGUCUGUACACAAAAAAUGUUUUUUUUUCAAAACAUUCAGAGUUAAAAUUACAGUAUGUGAUAAAACACUUGAAAGUUAUGUGCGUAUAAAACAAUCAAUGUAUAAUAUAUAUGGAUUUUACAGCCCUAUGUAUAAGAAAGAUAAACCCUAUAUAUAUUAGGUAGCAAACUAGCAAUAAUAAAUGAAGUGAGAAAGAAAAAAAGUAGCAAGAAAAUAAAAAGAUCUAAUUUUUGGGCAACCAAGGAUAUAGUCCCACAUGGUGUGAGUUUUGCGAUAUUAGUUUUGUUAGGUGACAUGCGAUAAAUAUGUGAACUGUAUAUGGUUCCCCACAUUGAUUAAAUCGAAAAUUGUUUUAUGUAUGUAUGAAAAUUUGUUUUUUUUCUCUCCAUAUGUAUGAGGCGUACGUAAAAAUAUCCCGACGAAUGCAGAUCUGGAUGUUGACAUAUUCUCUGAAUAUACAGUUACAUUGUUUAUAAAAACUCACAUAGAUAUAUUGAAUGUAAAGGACAAAAGGACCCAGAGAUUUUUACUACUUGUAGAAGUAAAACACAAAGGUUGGUGUCCAGAAUUGUACGGAUGGAUUGAAAAUGUGCGAAAUAAUAUAUAAAUGCUACUUAUCUAACAAAAGUAAAACAAUGUUGAUACAUCUUAUAUCUGACAAUGUCACCAUGGGUGCAAUGAAUUCGAAUUCAUACCCAACUCGAAGCUAUAUGUACCAAAACAAAAUCGACUGAGGUUAUUCAAGUCAUUUUUUAUUUAAUCAUGUAACUCAAUUUGUUGGAAAGUUAAUAUUAAUUUUUGAAUAGAGACAAAUCUUUUCAGUCUAAUCAUUAACAAUUUGCAAACUCAAUAUACACCAUACAUCCAAAAAAGUCUUAAGCAAAAGAGUCAUCACGAUCGAGGUCACCAUCCUCCUCCAUUUUGCUGAACUGGAGGAAAUGAGUGGGUCGAUGGACUUGGUGAUAGUAUUCCUUGGGGGUUCCGAGUGUCAAGCUGUAGUUUAUGCUCACCGUGUGAUUCGCUCCCAUGAAGUUGUAGUUCCAGGGUCCGUUCUCAGGAACCUAUCAUUCAACAAUGUCUCAUUAUUUCAGUGCUAUAUAAUAAAAUAAUAUCUAUCAAUCAAGGGCAAACACACAAAAAUCAAGGGGUUACUGUGUGUUCUCACCAUGUAGAACCCGAAGAAACGGUCACUCAAGAGCAUUUGGACCUUCUCGUAGUGGGUGGGAAGGUAACCGUGGGGAUUGCUGCCUGUGUCUUUGUUCAGCCGUCCCCAUUCAUAUCCGGCUUGCGUCAGCUUAUAUGACGUCAAAGAGCAUGAGCCCGGAGUGAAACUACAUGUCAGGAUGAUGCAUUUUUCUGCGUCCCAUUGCUUGUUGUUCUCCAGAACACGAGUGUGAAAAGUCACAUCCUACAGCAGCACAAAAAAAACCCAGUUAUUACGUGUAAAAGUUCGUAAGAAAGUAUAAAUAUAUAUGCAUACCUGUGGUGACAACUGAGGAAGCUCGUUAGGCUGUGUGUGUAUCCAUCCCAGGGGCUCUAAAUCAUCCAAGAACUGAUGUUCCGGAAGAGACGACGGCAGUUGAACUUGCUGGUGAUUUCCGCAUUGUGGCACCAUCACAACACAACGGAUUUCCUUCACUUGAGGAUUAUCCGGCGGACUUAUCCCAUAUAAAUAUCCAGCAAUUUGAGUUCGAAGAUCCGCUAUGCAUAUAAACUUCUUCAAUAUGUUCUUUGGCAUGAUGUAGGUGUAUCCAGUUUCCUGUGAACAACAAACAAAUAAGUUUUAGGGACUUUACUUAUUAAUUUGAAUAAGCAAGUCUGAGCGAAUUACCUUUAUGUCAUCUGAGUUCACGUAGAUGUGGUUGACCCUGAGGUAGAGGUUAGUAGCUGAAAUUGCGCGCACACGCCAGUCUGUUUUGGAUCCGAAUGCAGAUUGCUCGUACGGACUAAUGGUGGUGCUAAUCAAUUCAUCACCAUGAACAUUUGUGGUUCUUGUUGUGACUGCAGUAAGCUGGCUCGCUUCCUUUGCCUGCAGGAGGAAACAUAUUCUUUUUAGAGUAACCAAAAUAAAUCUAAUUUCUGAAUGUCCCUGUUUCAAGAACCCUUGAGAGAAGUGACAGUUACAAGUACCUGUUUCUCAAUCUCAGCUAUCUGUUGCCUCUGCUGAGACGGUGGAGUAAUCUCCGCUCCAAGUAUUAUAUCUCUUAUCUCUGAUUGUGUCAGAGCUGAUGUAUUUACUUUGUUCUUCUUCGCGUAGUCGGAAAGGAUGAGAUCUCUAAGAGCAACCUCCACCUGAAUGUAACAAUGAAUCAUCUGAUGUGAGUAAGGAAGGAGGAUAACAACUUCACUAAACAAAGAAAAGAGUUACUUGAUUUUUAUUCAAAAAUAAGUAGAAACUGCAGAUGAAAAGACCAAGCGGUCUAAUCAGAAAAUACAACGGAACACUACUUGAAAGGUGGCGCAAGGGUUACCUUCAUCCAUUGGUCGUCAGUGAGAGAAGGCCAAAUGUGAUUUGGCUCAGUGACAACAGACAUGUCAGGCUUCAAUAACAUCUUUGCCUUCUCAUUGUUUACGUGAAGAGCACGAAGGAUCAGGAUGAGUCUUUGAAAGGCAGUGUACGAAGAAACAGUCAUCAACCAAUCAUCAUAGAUAUUGAAGAGGGCCAUCUGCGGCUCUGUGGCCUUCAAAAUCAGAUCACCAAAUUUUUCUAUCUUAAGACAAGCCUGGAACGGAAGCUGGAGUUCACUUCCCUUUAUAACAAUGUUUGGGAAAUCCAGCAGAUGAACCUCAAGGGGAUCCAACAUUCCUUUACGAGUCACAAUAACUUGUUUUGGCUGUUCUUCAACAGGGAGAGACCGCACAAGUGCAGCGACCUCUUCAGCAGUUUUCCAUUUUGCAAGCUGACCAAGGCGCUUCUGCCCAGCCCAAACGCUUGUAUGAAUGAUCUAGUGAGACAAAGAUCCCCAAUGGGUGUUAUUAUAGUUUUUUCAGAUAAAACAGCGGCUACGUAUUACAAUACAUUUACAUGUUACUAGUGGAAUUUAUGGGAGAGAAAAUUACCUUAAGGAAUAGUUGCCCUGUUCUUGGGUUGAAAAUAAAAAUCACACCAUUGAUUGGCUUUGUUGUUAGAUUUCCUUCAAAUGUCUUGUGGAUUGUGACACGGUAUACAUUGGUAUCAUCAACAAACCAUAUGAUCUGAUUGCUGAAUAUUUCACCAUAGUUUUGAGAUGACAGAUAUGGCUCUGUAGGCUCAGAUGAGUACAACUGCAAACCUUUCCUUAUCCUCUCUCUCAACACGUAUAGAGCGGGAUUUGACUGUAACAUUUAAAGUUUACACAAUAAGAGUCACAUAUGUAAAAGCCAAAUAAAAAUAAGCACACCACGAAUAGAAGUUCUAGUACCUUCAUGAUCUUGUUCAUUGCUUGAGCAAGCAGAGGUUUGGAACCAGGGAACCAAUUACCAAAGGCGGAAUGCAAGUUGUAGGCCAAAUCAAGCCCAAUAAUUACACCUGCGAUGAUUUCAUCAGGAUAUGAGACUUACUGCAGAAAAAAAUAAAUUGACAAACUGAAAAAGGCUAUUAAGUACCCGUUGGAGAUGGAUAGAUAGACAUGUUGUCCGUUGUGUAAUCCAUGAAUUUGGCCUUAGUAUAGCGUUCAAUAUCAUGGGAGUCAUAAUCUCCCCAUCGAAGUUGCACAUCUAUCCAGUACUUGUUACUCGCUUUCUGAUCAAACACAUCCUUGGACUCAGCGAUUAGACUAGGCUUAGACAUUGGCCAUUUAUGGGCAGCAAACAGAAGAACAUCAGCACAAGAGCUAUUCAUUUUGUAACUCUUCCGUGGAUGAAUUGUCUCUUUCUGCACAGUUUCUAUCUCCAAAGGUUCCAACUCUUGAUCCAGUACUUGGCAAAGGUCCAUAACAACACUCUCAUGGAUUUUUUGCCACAAAUGAGCACGGAAUAUCUGAAUCAAAGAUAUUUUAAGAGUAGGAAUCUUUCCGUGCAUAUAUAUUCCUGUCAAAUCCAACUGCACUUGGAAACCCACAUACACAUUCGCUCGAUUAAUUGUUGGCGACCACCAGAGCGUGAAUCUUCUAUUCGGAAUCUGGUUCAGACCAGACCUCUGUGCAUUUGUCAGUUUCUUAUAUUUCAUAGACUCCUCAAAACCAGAUGCCUUCUCCCAAAAAAGACCCUCCCAAGUUGGAAAGCUGGAUUCAUGUAAAGAAAAUUAUUUUAGCAAAAUUGAUACGGAAAGCUGUGAGCAACAAAACAUCAAAUGUCAAUGUGAAAGAAAGAACAUAAUAAAUUGAGCACGAACGAAAAGCAAGACUCACUAUGUUCCUUUAAAUAAGGUGUGCUCAAGAAUACCCUCAACACCUCCAAGAGCUUGGAUGACAUCAGUUCGGUAAUUGUUCAAGUUCCACAAUUUACCAUCAUGCCUCUGGUGUGUCCACCAGAAAGGAUUUUGUUUCAGGGCUUGGUACUGUUUGAAGUCGGUCCGGACCCUCCAACCUUUAUCAUAUGCUAAAGUGUGCCUAUCCUUCUGGAACAGCGUAUUUAUACGCGGAAUUCCCCUAUCCCAAGAGUCCUGUCAAAUAUUUUUUAACAUGAGUUAUUAUACUCUAAAAAUUAAACAUCAAGACUUCCCAAUCAAACUUUUAUUCUACCUUGUCGAUCUCCAAAAGAGAACAAGGCAACACUUAGAUAUCCUCUAAAAAUCCCUACAUCAAGUAGUUGACACACACAAAAAGCUACUUAAAGACCAGCAAAAGAGGAUAAAGCUAGCAAACUGAUAUCUUCUCAGAACUAUAAACUACGUAAAGAGGCAACAAAAUCACGAGUAAAAUACUUACUUCCAGAUCCUCCAGCGUCAGACGUCUAUUUUGGGCCUGAGCUUCCUGCCUCUUCAAAGCAUACUCUGCCCACACCCGCUGUGAAUCAAUAAAUUCGCUUUCCCAUGGUUGUAUGUAACGGUAAAGAUUAGGAAUCAGUUGAUCCUCCUCGUGGCUCAUUCCACUCCUGAAAUGGCUUACACCAACAUCUGUCUGGUUGCUGUACCGAAGGUCACUUUGUGGGAUCAAAAUAUGACCCAUAGACAACAUCCCAAGCCCGCCAAUUUCUUUCGGAGUGUAGAAGAUAACAGGAGGAAAUCUACCAAGGAAAAGAUGAACAAUCAGGUUUAAAAAACAUAACAUACAACUAUGAUACGUCAAACACAAUAUAGUAAGAUAGCAUUUGCUCACCGACUAGGCAUCUUUGAGUUUAGCCCAAUCUUAACCCUCGUUUGGAUUUUAUUUUCACAUUUAACAAGCAGAUCCAAGAGCUCUUGCGUAUGCACAGUGGCUUCACGGAAGUAAGUCAUGAGGCCUGUAUAAAACAAAUAAACGUGCUCAGCUUCAUGCUAGCCAAACAUUAUUAAACGUAAUCAGUACUGCCAAAAGAAAGGCGUACUACAGGAUAUACCUAUCAGAGCUGUAUUCCAUUUAUUGACGAUUUUGGUAAAUGUGGUUGACCCUGACGACAUAAGAAUCUGCCUCACACGAUUCUCAAACACCUUCAUGUGUUCAUCAUCAGCCCGCAGAAAAGCAACUGCAGUCCUCUCUUUAGUUUGUUCAUUCUGCAGAUUCCAGACACCAUCCCUUGUGCUGCUAAAAGCUUCUUGACCCAUCCUGAUUUUUGGAAGCACGCGGACUUCAAAUCCACACCUGCAGGCAAGAAUGCAAACCCCAGUCACUAUUUAAGCUGCACUAUCAAACAAUGACAAAAACAAAGGCCUAGCACUAAUGUACAAGAGCCACUAGAAAACUGAGACAAAACGCAUACAUGCUGAAAAGCAAGUUUGGAUUAUCCUUGCUGUACACGGAGACGAAGCCAUUCUCCCACUCCAAGGUUGUGAUGCUCCGUGGAAGACGAUUCUUCAUAUCCCAGAAGACACUUCUACCAAGAUUGACUGCAAGAUAAAUAAAUAAUGAGACAACAUCUGGUGCAUAAUGAUAGUCUAUCUAAAUAUAAAAAGGAGCAUACCAUCAUGUUUCAUUAACCUCAUCCUUGCAUCUCUUGGCCAGCAUUUUUUAUUGUUAUAUCCCACCAUGUUUUCAUUGUUGGGAUCAGGACGCUCGGUGAGAUGACGUUGAAUAAGAUCCCUAGCCUCUUCAUGGGUAAAUUUAAACAUUAUAUGCACUUUGUCUAUAUACCGAGAAUACAGUCUUAUGGGAUGGCGUGUCUCAACUUUUGUAUCCCAGUAGGUCAUAAACUCAUUAGGCCUCUGCGGUGGCCCGGCAAUUUCACUUGCUCGAGUCAAACCAAGGAGCAAAAGAUCUAACACUAGUCCAUAAAACUGAACAACAAACGAUGCGAACUGCAGUCCCCUAAUGAGUCCAUACGUAUUAGUAUAGCUCAUAUCCUUGUAAGACAGCACCACGUUAUUCUUGCCAGUCACAUAGUUUGCAAGCUUGGGAUCAAGAACCAAACGAAGAAGGCUGAAAGAAACAACAAAAAAGACGUGUUACUACAGAAAGUCUAAGUUCUAUGUCUGUAAUCACAUAAGCAUUUCACAGAGAGAUACCUGUUCAACACUGUCAAAUCAAUCUUCUCAAAGAGUUUUUCAAACUUCGUCUGGAGCAUCACUACACACUGACCAUCACUAGUGUCCCAUAUGCCUUGCAAAUUAUUGAUACCUUGACACCAUUUGUAAACCAGGAGCGGUGGCGGCUCUGAGUCUGCAGGCUUAAUCCAAUUGGGAAACAAGUGGCGCUUGUCACCCUCAUACCACAAAUACUGAUCAAGAUAAGCAUCAGUAAUUUUCUCCAGGGGAUCAAUUUGAUAGACUGGAAUCAAAUGGCUAUAUAGAUCCAUAAACUCUAUGCCAACCUGCAGAAAAAAAUAAUGUAUUCACCAUCAGAAUAACAUAGUAACCUUGAGAUCUAUAUGUUCAGAAAACUGCUCCAGAAUAGGUGCAUUAUCAACUUACUUCUUUGAAGCUAUGCUGAGUGAGAAGAUGACGCUUUAUUCGCAUCAGAGCUUCAUGAGGAUUGUCAUAAGCUUGUUCAAUUAAACCAAGCUCUUCUCUCUGCUGUUGAUUCAACUUCACAGCUGCACUAUAUGAUUCUUUCAGUCUCUCAAGGGCCAAGAUAAGCAACUUUGUGUCAUGUUUAUAUGAUAAUGGAGGGAAUGGGAUUGCUGAAAAUUUUCUAGAUUCCAGCCAAUUUACAGUGGUGCUAUAAAUUGCAAUUCCUUCAUCCGCUGUGACAUAUGGACCAUCUUUCUGAAAAUUAUGUUGUCGUUCCUGCAACAAUUUUACAAGGAAAAUGUAUUACAGAACUGGGCAAUCGAGAAUAAAAGGAACUAAAUUCAAUCAGACAAAAAAAUGAAGCCUCUUCGUAACCAUCUUUGUCAAACAACAAUGAUUUUGAUUUUACGAGUUGUGACAAGGUACAGACCUGUUCUGCCUUGAGCCAAAGACGGGUCAACCGUCCAAGAUUCUUUCUACAAACUGUCUUAUCAACAGUAGCCCCUCUUCUGAUACGUUCACGAUUGUAGUGAGCAACAUUUGUCCACCAAUCAGCUUUAGACUUGACAUAUCGGAGGAUCAUAUUCUCAAUUGCCACAGGUAAUCCAGGGACCUUCCAUGGUAUAUUAGCUUUCCAACACCGCCAUGCCUCACUAAGGUGCUGCAAUAUCGUCCGCGCCUUAUUUUGCUUAAUACCCUCUGCACAUUAGAAGACAGUAUAAACCAACAAGGAAGAGAUAAAAUUAAAGGAAAUCGACCUUGAGAAAAACAAAUCAGUUAUAGACGCAAGAAGCGAACCUGGCAUUGCAUCAACAACAUCAUGCAUGACAGCAGCUCGAAGCUCCAAAUCAAAAUGGCUUUCAACUCUCUGUUUUGUGACUGUUUUGGCCACUCCCUUUGAGUGACGCCCCUCAAAUUGACGUGCAAGCAGAUUCCCUAACCAUCGUUCUAGAAGAGGAACUAUUCCGCGAAGGAAAAACAACCAUACCCUCCACAUUGGAGCCCAAAAUCCACACCCUGGUCCUUUACCCACAGGACCAGUAUUGAAACGGUAAUAGAUCAAGUGUUUCAAAUCCUUGCACAUCCUGAUUUGUCUCAUAAGCCUGUACUUAUAACGAUACAUACCUGUCAAUUGCCCAACAUGGGAGAAAAUAUAUUGCAGGCCAUCAGCCAAUUGAAAGGCAUCAACAUUACCAAGUCGGAACUGGACAUUUGCAUCAACUACAAGUUUUGUCAGCCGGAGGAUCUCACGGCAGAGAUGGAAAGCAUUUCCAAAACGCGACUUCUUUCGUUCCUUGGUUGUCAGAGUUUUCACAGGCUUGAGGUUGAAGUUAUAAUCAAGGUGCAGGUAGUUCAAAUUCUUCCUGUGAAUCAACAGGUUCAGCAUAUUAUACCCCUGCCGGCAGACUUGCAGACCCACUUCAACCCAAUCCAGUUCGGUGCUCUGAAAAAACUUUGUAGCUGCAAGAGAUCGAAACAAAUGCUUCUUCUUCUGAGCCUUAGGGGGUCUAUGGUGCAGCUCAUUCAGUAGAUAACAUUUCAAAAGCUUCUGGUAACUAACCCGAACUUUGACAGGAUAUGCUGGAGGACUGCAGAAAAUGAGAUAACUAAGAAGUUAAUACAAUGUCUAGUAAAUUUCAAAAGGGGAAAGAGAACCACAGUAGCAUCAGAAAAAUUAGCUUACCAGUGCUCCUUAAACCACUCUGCAACAAGGGGUAUAUCUUCAGCCCGCCGAGUCCUCCCAGACCUCAUAUUGAAAGGCCGAGGGGCAAACAACAAUGAAAUGCCAGGAGCUGUAGUGUCAGUGUAGAGUGGCGAGUUAUUUAGCAAAGGUUCCAGUCCUUCUGGU
RNAcentral lists this long non-coding RNA (12375 nucleotides) under Arabidopsis thaliana (thale cress). RNAcentral describes it as "long non-coding RNA (ATHA_LNC000330)". The record is from RNAcentral. Lineage: Eukaryota; Viridiplantae; Streptophyta; Magnoliopsida; Brassicales; Brassicaceae.